This 468-nucleotide ribosomal RNA is filed under the name uncultured bacterium. Its description in RNAcentral is "partial 16S ribosomal RNA". It matches the Rfam family "Bacterial small subunit ribosomal RNA", at positions 28 to 507 of the family's 1533-position model. The record is from RNAcentral.
GACGAACGCUGGCGGCGUGCUUAACACAUGCAAGUCGAACGGAAAGGCCCUGCUUUUGUGGGGUGCUCGAGUGGCGAACGGGUGAGUAACACGUGAGUAUCCUGCCCUUGACUUUGGGAUAACUUCAGGAAACUGGGGCUAAUACCGGAUAGGAGCUCCUGCUGCAUGGUGGGGGUUGGAAAGUUUCGGCGGUUGGGGAUGGACUCGCGGCUUAUCAGCUUGUUGGUGGGGUAGUGGCUUACCAAGGCUUUGACGGGUAGCCGGCCUGAGAGGGUGACCGGCCACAUUGGGACUGAGAGACGGCCCAGACUCCUACGGGAGGCAGCAGUGGGGAAUAUUGCACAAUGGGCGGAAGCCUGAUGCAGCAACGCGGCGUGCGGGAUGACGGCCUUCGGGUUGUAAACCGCUUUCGCCUGUGACGAAGCGUGAGUGACGGUAAUGGGUAAAGAAGCACCGGCUAACUACGUG